This 3394-nucleotide long non-coding RNA is filed under the name Macaca mulatta (Rhesus monkey). RNAcentral's name for it is "lncRNA (ENSMMUG00000063490.1)". The record is from RNAcentral. Lineage: Eukaryota; Metazoa; Chordata; Mammalia; Primates; Cercopithecidae.
AAUUCACCAUGGAGAGGUUCUGCAGGAAAGCUGUGUUUUGUUGUAAGGGACAUUAGCUCUUACAAAAACUUUGUCUUGAUUUUUUUUUUUUUUUUGCUGUGUCUUGUUUUGUCUUGCUCUCCAAGCAUUUGAGCUGAAACAAAUAAGUAAAAUGUCGAUUUAAUGAGGAUUCAAGCUAUGUAGCCCCAGAGGAAGGAAGUGGGACUUUUAAAAUAAAGAACGUCAUCUAUCCUCUGCCACAGACCGGAACGCCGUGGUGUCUCAGCACCAGCCCAAGCACUUUGGAGAGCUUGUUGAAUCCGAUCCUGAACAGUAGGAGAGACAAGGUCUCACUUUGACACCCAAGCUGGAGUUCAGUGGCGCGAUCAGAGCUCAUUACAGCCUCCAACUCCUGGGCUCAAGCAAUCCUCCUGCCUCAUCCUCCCAAGCAACUGGAGCUAAAAGUGUGCACCAUCAUACCUGGUGCCUUUAUUCCUAAAUGUUUCUUCAUGAAGGAAGAUACAAAUUUACAUGAGCCUAUGCUGUUCACAUGAGUAAGGGGAAAACAGAGAGAACUCAGGGGCACCCACAUAUUAUGCUUUAUAAUUUGACCUAGGAAUAGUCUUGAAUAAGCAACUUGGGUUUCCCCUCCCAGAAAAUACUUUGACAUACAUUAAUUUAUUCAUUUAAAACUCAUUAUUUACUGGGUUUCCAUGAGGUGUCUCUGAGACUCACUCUUCCCCCUUUGUUCUCACAGUAUUUUAAAUAUCCUUAAUAUAAUCUAUCCUGCAAUUUCUUAUUGUUGCAUGCCCUCCUUUCUUUUUGGAGUGUGAGCUCUUUGGUGACAGGGACUUCAUAUGUUUUCUCAUCCUUCCAGCACCUAAAACUGUUUCUGGCAUAUGCAGAGUAAUCUAUAAAAAACUUUAAGAUCUGUUAAUGAAUCAAGUUAUUUGUGAUUGUGCCUGGUAUUCUUUCAUUUAUUUAUACAUUUAUCUGUGUGUCUAUUUGUACACCCCCCCAUCAAUUUAUCAAAGCAUCCAUCCAUUCAUUCAUCCACCCACCCAUUUUUCUCCCUGAUCUCACCCCAUUAACAAUUUGUGGAAAACAAUCUGACAAAUUCACCAAAAAAGGCAAUAAAGGAAAAGGAUUUUCCAUCCAUUAUCCAUUCUUUUUUUCUGCCUUCAUUUUCACUUCUACCAUCUCUCCUGCAUAUCUCUUCCUCUUUCUCUGGAGAGUUACAGGAAUGAAAACGAGAUGGGUCCUGAAGAGUUGGUAAGGGGAGUAAAUUGCUUGGUGACAGCUUGGUUCCAGAGACGGAUGAAAACCUUAGCCUUAAGCAAAGUUCAGGGAAGCCCAAGGAGAGAGCUGAUGGACAGUCUGACUUGUUGAGGGUGAAAUCAAUUAAAGUACAUCAAAUCCAGAAUUCAUGCUUUCUCAGAGUGACAAAUCUAUGCUGGAAACUGAGAAAGACGAAAGGAGAAAAUUGCCUUUGACCUUUUGAAGACCGGCUGUUCCUUCUGUCAGGGGAGCCAGGCCUGGAGUGAGAUGCGUUCAUGAUGAAUUAUAACAGCCAGCUACCUUAAAAAAGAACGGGGUGAAAAGGUUACCAAAGAGAACCAAAAUGUGAGGAAUUCAACCAAACAUCAAGAUAAAUCAACUUGGCCAGGAGUAUUUGUGCCAUGCCUGCUCAGAGCUGCUAUGGACAAGCUCAGUUUGUUAGUUCAGCUCUUUGAAGCAUGAUAUGCAGACACACUUGCAUGUUCACACACUUUGUUUGCCAAAAUGUGGGAAGGUAAUCAGAAGAGAAGAGCCACAAGAUUGUCAGUCUAGCAUCAGAAAUUUGGUGGCAUAGCGUUUCUGUACAACGCUGUCCACUAAAACUUUUUGUCAUGAUGAAGAUGUCCUAUAGCUAAGCUGACCAAUACGAUAGACAUUAGUCAUAUUUGACGUUGAGCACUUGGAAUAUGGGUAGUGAAAUUGAGGAACUGAAUUUUUAUUUUUUGAUUUUAAUUAUUUUAAAUGUAAGUAGCCACAGAUGGCUAAAAGCUACUGUAUUGAAUGGUGAAGCUCCAGGACAAAGGAUGUUUUUGCCUUCAACAAUAUCAGAAAAGCAGGGGUGAGUGGAUUGUCAGAUUGCAGUACAAUUGCUUGCAUUUUUGCAGAGUUCGUGGGAGAAACUCAUUAUAUUCAUUUGUAAUGCUUGUUGGUAAAUUUGAUUUUCUCUUUAGAAUGUAGAGAUUAAAUCUUGGUUUAAAACUGCCUCUCUGAGAGCAGUUUCUCCAUCAGUGAAACGGGCAUAAUUUCAACUCUUUGAGAGUGCUCCGUUAUGCAAUAUAUGCAAUGUUUCUUAUCUCAGUGUCUGAAAACAGUUCAUACAAGUUUGCUGUGCUUGAUGCUAUUACUAUUACUAGUAUUGUGAUUUAAAAGCAAAGGAGAUUGUUGGUGAGAAAACAAGUUGUUCCACCUGGAGAUUUAUGCUGAAAUAACCACUUUACAUCACAACCCAUGGAGUCCUUGACCUUAGCUUAGUUUGUCUAUCCCACCACCAGAUGCCAUUUAGAAAAUUAUCAGCUGUUUCUGGAUAAAUGGGUAUUUUGGUUUCCUAGAGAUCAAACUGAAGAUUGAAAAACAGAAAUAAUUUGUUGACAAUUGUCCUAGUUUCUUACUGGUUCCGCACUGAGGGGAACUUUCCAAAUAACUACUAUUUGCAUUCUUUGGCAUCCAAAUUAAUAUUAUCAUUUCCAAAUUUGAGCCAUUUUGCCUGGAAAACAUUCUUACCAAGUUUAACAAGUUUUAAUAUUUCCUGUCUUUAGAAAAAUAAAAUGUGCAACAAGACUUAACCUUUUAAAACUUUUUUCUGAAACACACAUGCACAUCCAUAUGCAUACAUGCACACACACACACUUACCCAGAGGCAUAAAAUUUACGUAACAUAAAAUUAGCUUUUGCUUGCUUCCACCUUUUGGCUAAUGUGGAUAGUGCUGUUAUGAUAUGAUAAUCUGUGCAAUAAUUCGUUUCAGUACCUGUUUUCAUUUCUUCUCGGAAUAUACCUAUGAGUAGAAUUGCUGGACUGUGUGUUAAUUCUAUGUUUAACAUUUUGAGGAACUGCAAAACUGUUUUCCAUAAUGACUGCAUCAUUGUACACUCCUAUCAACAAUGUAAUGCUCAUCAACACUUGUUAUUCUCCUUUUAAAAAAAUUGUAUCUAUCCUAGUGGGGGUGAAGUGGUAUCUCAUUGUGUUUUUUUAUUUGCAUUUCCCUAACGAGUAAUGAUACUGAGCAUCUUUUCAUGUGUUUAUUGGCCAUUUGUAUAUCUUACUCAAAGAAAUGUCUAUUCAAAUUAUUUACUUAUUUUAUUGCUUAAUUGCUCUGGCUAGAAUUUCUCAUGCAACAUUAAAUGGCAGUGAUGAAAGUGG